UGCUGGAGCGAAUAGAAGUGAGCAUGCAGGCAUGAGUAGCGAUAAUUAAUGUGAGAAUCAUUAACGCCGUAAACCCAAGGUUUCCUACGCGAUGCUCGUCAUCGUAGGGUUAGUCGGGUCCUAAGUCGAGUCCGAAAGGGGUAGACGAUGGCAAAUUGGUUAAUAUUCCAAUACCAACAUUAGUGUGCGAUGGAAGGACGCUUAGGGCUAAGGGGGCUAGCGGAUGGAAGUGCUAGUCUAAGGUCGUAGGAGGUUAUACAGGCAAAUCCGUAUAACAUACUCCGAGAACUGAAAGGCUUUUUGAAGUCUUCGGAUGGAUAGAAGAACCCCUGAUGCCGUCGAGCCAAGAAAAGUUUCUAAGUUUAGCUAAUGUUGCCCGUACCGUAAACCGACACAGGUGGGUGGGAUGAGUAUUCUAAGGCGCGUGGAAGAACUCUCUUUAAGGAACUCUGCAAAAUAGCACCGUAUCUUCGGUAUAAGGUGUGGUUCGCUUCGUAUUAGGAUUUACUCCGAAAGCGAAGAAACUUACAACAAAGAGUCCCUCCCGACUGUUUACCAAAAACACAGCACUCUGCUAACUCGUAAGAGGAUGUAUAGGGUGUGACGCCUGCCCGGUGCUCGAAGGUUAAUUGAUGGGGUUAGCAUUAGCGAAGCUCUUGAUCGAAGCCCGAGUAAACGGCGGCCGUAACUAUAACGGUCCUAAGGUAGCGAAAUUCCUUGUCGGUUAAAUACCGACCUGCAUGAAUGGCGUAACGAGAUGGGAGCUGUCUCAAAGAGGGAUCCAGUGAAAUUGUAGUGGAGGUGAAAAUUCCUCCUACCCGCGGCAAGACGGAGAGACCCCGUGGACCUUUACUACAGCUUGACACUGCUAUUUGGAUAAGAAUGUGCAGGAUAGGUGGGAGGCUUUGAGUAUAUGACGCCAGUUGUAUAUGAGCCAUUGUUGAGAUACCACUCUUUCUUAUUUGGGUAGCUAACCAGCUUGAGUUAUCCUCAAGUGGGACAAUGUCUGGUGGGUAGUUUGACUGGGGCGGUCGCCUCCCAAAUAAUAACGGAGGCUUACAAAGGUUGGCUCAGAACGGUUGGAAAUCGUUCGUAGAGUAUAAAGGUAUAAGCCAGCUUAACUGCAAGACAUACAAGUCAAGCAGAGACGAAAGUCGGUCUUAGUGAUCCGGUGGUUCUGUGUGGAAGGGCCAUCGCUCAAAGGAUAAAAGGUACCCCGGGGAUAACAGGCUGAUCUCCCCCAAGAGCUCACAUCGACGGGGAGGUUUGGCACCUCGAUGUCGGCUCAUCGCAUCCUGGGGCUGGAGCAGGUCCCAAGGGUAUGGCUGUUCGCCAUUUAAAGCGGUACGCGAGCUGGGUUCAGAACGUCGUGAGACAGUUCGGUCCCUAUCUGCCGUGGGCGUAAGAAGAUUGAAGAGAUUUGACCCUAGUACGAGAGGACCGGGUUGAACAAACCACUGGUGUAGCUGUUGUUCUGCCAAGAGCAUCGCAGCGUAGCUAAGUUUGGAAAGGAUAAACGCUGAAAGCAUCUAAGCGUGAAGCCAACUCUAAGAUGAAUCUUCUCUAAGCUCUCUAGAAGACUACUAGUUUGAUAGGCUGGGUGUGUAAUGGAUGAAAGUCCUUUAGCUGACCAGUACUAAUAGAGCGUUUGGCUUAUCUUUAAUAAAGCAU
Molecule: ribosomal RNA, 1671 nt
Filed under: Campylobacter coli
Lineage: Bacteria; Pseudomonadati; Campylobacterota; Epsilonproteobacteria; Campylobacterales; Campylobacteraceae
Description: partial 23S ribosomal RNA
Rfam family: Bacterial large subunit ribosomal RNA
Source: RNAcentral